This 91-nucleotide ribosomal RNA is filed under the name Fidelibacterota bacterium. The record is from RNAcentral. Lineage: Bacteria; Pseudomonadati; Fidelibacterota.
ACCCGAUCCCAUUCCGAACUCGGUAGUUAAGCCCUGCAGCGCCAAUGGUACUGCCUUGGUAACGGGGUGGGAGAGUAGGACAUCGCCGGGG